This 511-nucleotide long non-coding RNA is filed under the name Homo sapiens (human). RNAcentral describes it as "HSALNT0340262". The record is from RNAcentral. Lineage: Eukaryota; Metazoa; Chordata; Mammalia; Primates; Hominidae.
AUCCCUGCCGAUCCUGUUGCUGCCGCCUUCCCGCCGUGCUCGGGCUGCCCGGGACUCUAGCCGCCAGGCUUCGCGUCGCCCAGCGGCAGAUCGGGCUCCUGGGAGCCUCUCCCCUGGCCGUUUGCUCGGCCUCGGCCCCAGCUGCCCUGGGGCCUAGCCACUAGCUCCCCUGGCGCUAGCCUACCCUGUCUUGACCGCACCCUGAAGAUUUGGGAAGUCUUUCUCCAUCCCAAGAGUCGUCUCUGCAAAAGUUGGUGUCCUUCCUGGUGCUGAACCACGCUUCUGCUCAAAAUGUGUUGAGCGUCGUCUGUCUGCAAAGCACGGUGCCAGGAGCUUUGGUGGAGAAGGCAUGGGGUACAUGUGUAAAGAGUACAGGCUUUUGGUUAAACCUGAAGUCCUCCUCUACUUUCUGGGGGACCCUGGCCGUCCUUGCUGAGCCUCCGUUGACUUCUCUAAUGGGGACGGUAAUGCCUACCUGACCACAAGCUGAUGAGUAAAUGAGCUAUGAGUG